GCCGGGGUGGCGGAACUGGUAGACGCGCUGGAUUCAAAAUCCAGUUACUUCGGUAGUGGGGGUUCGAUUCCCCCCCCCGGUACCA
Molecule: transfer RNA, 85 nt
Filed under: Gammaproteobacteria bacterium
Lineage: Bacteria; Pseudomonadati; Pseudomonadota; Gammaproteobacteria
Description: tRNA-Leu
Rfam family: tRNA
About the family: Transfer RNA (tRNA) molecules are approximately 80 nucleotides in length. Their secondary structure includes four short double-helical elements and three loops (D, anti-codon, and T loops).
Source: RNAcentral